GCCUUCGUAGUGUAAUGGUAACACACUUAAGUGCGUAUUCGAGAGAUCCAGGUUCGAGCUCCGGCGAGGGCA
RNAcentral lists this transfer RNA (72 nucleotides) under Stegodyphus mimosarum. It matches the Rfam family "tRNA". Rfam says of the family: Transfer RNA (tRNA) molecules are approximately 80 nucleotides in length. Their secondary structure includes four short double-helical elements and three loops (D, anti-codon, and T loops). Lineage: Eukaryota; Metazoa; Arthropoda; Arachnida; Araneae; Eresidae. The record is from Rfam by way of RNAcentral.